GAGGGUGGGGUCACCUAGGCAACCGACAAACGUCUCACGCACCAGCACCCGGGCUGUCCCGGCUCUGCUCCCAGCCUAGCUGUGCAGCCUGGGGGGGGGGGGGGGGGGGUGCUCUCUGACCCUCAGUUUCUCCAUCGGUGAAAUGGCGGUAGUUAGUCCUCCCUAGGGGUUGUGAGAGUGGAGAGCGAGCAGAGUGAAGCUGUCGCUAACAUCAUCCACAACGGCAGAGCGCCAUCCCAACAACGGGGUCUGGAGCCUGACGUCCUGGGUUCGAAACCCCUCCUCUGCCACUCAUCAACCUGCGUGACGGGUUCGUCUGUCUGCGCCUCUGUUUCCCCUUCUGUAAAAGAUGGUACCCUGGUCUCAGAGCUGCUGAGGGGAGUUAAAUGAGCCUGUGGGAAGCUGGGUCGGGCCUAUCGUCAACCGUAAGAGGUGAGCCUCUUCCCUCUGACAAGAUUGAAAUUCUAGAGAAAAUCAGAGAUAGAAGCAUGGUGUCUGUACCAGCCCUGGUGAGUCUGGGGAGGCCCCGAAUCUCCGUCCCAGACCCUGGCCACCUCUUAACGUCCCUCUUUCCCUUUCAGCCUCUCCUUUACCUACAUCCCUCCGCUCCCAGAUCCCCAGUUUACCUCCCUGUGAGAUGGGCUCAAACAGGCCCAUCCUCUUCUCCAUUCUCCCGCAAAACUGCUCCUAAGCCCGACCCUUUCUCCCCAGAUUCUGGUCCAACCCCAGCAGAAUCUGUCCCUAUAACCAGCCAGGCACUGCCUCCCUGGUCUCUGUGCUUCUGCUCUCAGCCCCCAUAGAACCUUCCCUCCAUGUGGCCAGGGUCAGACUCGUCCUGCCUUUCUCCAGAACCCUCUAUGGCUCCCACCUUCCGUGGGGUAAGAGCCAAAGGCCUUCUCAUAGCCCCAGGACCCUGCUGGCCUUGCGGUUCCCACUUCCUUCCAACUGUCGGCAGGGAGGCUGGGGAGAACCCCGGGUCCUGCGGCCUCCAUCCAGCUGCACCCCGGGAUGCUGCCAGAGGCUCUUGGUCUCCUUUGCGAGAGAGAAUUCGAGGACAGACCAGGCAUAACGGCUGAGUGGUUCAAGAAGGAACGUGUAAUUCAAGCGAGCAUACACUCUUGAGAGGUGAGAGCAGGCAGGCUCAAGGAAGAGCUGCUAGGCCUGGGGUUUGGGUCUCUAGCCUUUAUUGACAGUUGUUAACGAGGGGGUGGAAUAUUUAUUUCUUGGGGAGGGGAUUUUGGGGGAGCAGGGCUUUGUACUUUUGUUGUUGUUGUUGUUGUUGUUGUUGUCUUGGGCCUGUCUGGUUUGAUCCGGCUUUUUGUGGCUUUGUUUUGGAGGGCUGCCAGGACAGACCUCUGACUUUCCCCAUAACUGACCGUGACUCACACUUUGCUGGCCUUCAGACAUCCUGUUAAAGCCUAACGAACUGCUUACUCUAACACAACUCUCACUCCACUCAGGCCACAUGGGCCUCUGGGAAACUCCUCCACGGCAGGCACUCUCCUGCCCCAGGGCCUUUGCACAGGCCGUGCCUCUGCCCUGGACGGUCUCCCCCAAGACAUCCGUAUGUCUCCGUCACCUCCUUCAGGUCUCAGCUCGGAGGUCCGCCCACAUGCCCUUCUUUUUCUCUUGCCAUCAGGAGUCUGUGUUUUGUUCACAGCAAUGUCAAGCCAACGUGCUUAAUCAGCGUGCUUAAUCACGUUCUUAAUGAGAGCCAUUUACCAGGCGCUUACUGUGUUGCCAGGGCCUGGGCUACGGGGCUGGGGACAGGGCUGAGGAUGAUGGGGACAUAUCCCUUGGUGGGAUUUAUGGCCUGGGGGCAGGGAGGGAGAUGGAUCGAAUGAAUGGAGUAGGACACUUGGCCAGAUGGGGCAGAGAGAGAGUUUUUCAGAUGAGCACCUUCUGGAAAGGGUGGCAUGGAGACCGAAGCCCUGAGAUAGGAAUGCAUUUGUUUGUUUCUGAGGAGGUGGCGUGGGGAGGUCAUGUGGGGAGGGCAGCAAGGUGGGACUCAUGGGGCCUUUGGGGCCACAGGGAGGGGGGUUGGUCGUCACCUUCAGAGCAGUGGGGCACCCUGGGAGAUCUCAAGGCAGGUGAUCGGAUUUGAGUCAUGUCUCCCAAAGGAAAGAGCAGCUGUGUGUGUCUCACCAGUUCACACAUGGGGAAACUGAGGCUCAGAGGGGUGAAGUCACUUACCCAGCGUCCCCGACUCCCACGUCUCCCACCAGGAGCCCGCAGAUCCCUCCCCUGCCCCCACCCAGUUGCAGAUGGGUAAACCGAAGCAAAAAGGUGCCGUUACUUCCCAAGGUCCCCUGGGAACACAGUCAGCCCUCCUCCACUCCCCUUGCCCCUCCCCACGUCCCCUCACUGGGGGACUUUCUGACAGGGAGGAAACAGCAGCGGCUGGUUUCACAAGUGGGUGGCCAAAGCCUCAGUCCCGUUUCGAUUUGCUCGAUUUGCAAAUAGCGUCUGGCUCCAACCGCCUGAGGCCUGGGGAGGUUUGCUGCCCCACCGGCUGCCUGCUCUGCUCGGGGCUGAUCAACCUGUCUGCUCAGGGGAGGCAGGGCAACCCUGGGCAGAGGGGAGGUCAGGGGUCUGGGGACCGUGUGGGCAGGGGAGCCAGGGGCCUGGGAGUGCACGGAGCCCUCAUCCCCACUGAGCUUUGAUCACUCAUUCAAUCAACAGUCAACAAUGACUUCGUGCUUUGCUGAAUUAGCACAUUUUAUUCUCCUGCGGAGCAUAUAUUAAGUGCUUGCUGUUUAAAAGGCUGUGUACCAGGUAUUAGUUCAUCCCAUCACCCCCAACAACGCUCUAAGGCAAAAUCUGAGCUUCCUGGGGCUGGAACAGAUGACCGUGAACCUGCCACAUUUCAAACAACUUGUUCUCACACAGUCCAGGGGGCCGGAGGCCUGGAACCCAAGUGGUGGCGAGUGACCCUUGUUAAAGAACAAAAAUUGAG
This is a long non-coding RNA of Leopardus geoffroyi (Geoffroy's cat), 2956 nucleotides long. RefSeq lists it as uncharacterized. The transcript is spliced from 3 exons. The record is from RefSeq and is a predicted model, not a curated record. Lineage: Eukaryota; Metazoa; Chordata; Mammalia; Carnivora; Felidae.